This 59-nucleotide transfer RNA is filed under the name Platygaster robiniae. RNAcentral describes it as "tRNA-Arg". Lineage: Eukaryota; Metazoa; Arthropoda; Insecta; Hymenoptera; Platygastridae. The record is from RNAcentral.
AUAAAUAAAUUUAAAAAUUAAUUUCGACUUAAUUAAAGAUAAUUAUUUAUCUAUUUAUA